CGGGUGAGUAACACGUGGAUAACCUACCUAUAAGACUGGGAUAACUUCGGGAAACCGGAGCUAAUACCGGAUAAUAUUUUGAACCGCAUGGUUCAAAAGUGAAAGACGGUCUUGCUGUCGCUUAUAGAUGGAUCCGCGCUGCAUUAGCUAGUUGGUAAGGUAACGGCUUACCAAGGCAACGAUGCAUAGCCGACCUGAGAGGGUGAUCGGCUACACUGGAACUGAGACACGGUCCAG
This 237-nucleotide ribosomal RNA is filed under the name uncultured Staphylococcus sp. Its description in RNAcentral is "partial 16S ribosomal RNA". It matches the Rfam family "Bacterial small subunit ribosomal RNA", at positions 103 to 334 of the family's 1533-position model. Lineage: Bacteria; Bacillati; Bacillota; Bacilli; Caryophanales; Staphylococcaceae. The record is from RNAcentral.